Molecule: ribosomal RNA, 430 nt
Filed under: Pseudomonadota bacterium
Lineage: Bacteria; Pseudomonadati; Pseudomonadota
Description: Proteobacteria bacterium partial 16S ribosomal RNA
Rfam family: Bacterial small subunit ribosomal RNA
Source: RNAcentral
UGGGGAAUAUUGGACAAUGGGCGAAAGCCUGAUCCAGCCAUGCCGCGUGUGUGAAGAAGGUCUUCGGAUUGUAAAGCACUUUAAGCGAGGAGGAGGGUACUGGUAUUAAUACUACCAGGUACUGGACGUUACUCGCAGAAUAAGCACCGGCUAACUCUGUGCCAGCAGCCGCGGUAAUACAGAGGGUGCGAGCGUUAAUCGGAUUUACUGGGCGUAAAGCGUGCGUAGGCGGCUGAUUAAGUCGGAUGUGAAAUCCCUGAGCUUAACUUAGGAAUUGCAUUCGAUACUGGUCAGCUAGAGUAUGGGAGAGGAUGGUAGAAUUCCAGGUGUAGCGGUGAAAUGCGUAGAGAUCUGGAGGAAUACCGAUGGCGAAGGCAGCCAUCUGGCCUAAUACUGACGCUGAGGUACGAAAGCAUGGGGAGCAAACAGG